Molecule: ribosomal RNA, 495 nt
Filed under: uncultured bacterium
Lineage: Bacteria
Description: partial 16S ribosomal RNA
Rfam family: Bacterial small subunit ribosomal RNA
Source: RNAcentral
UGAACGCUGGCGGCGUGCCUAAUACAUGCAAGUCGAGCGAACGGACGAGAAGCUUGCUUCUCUGAUGUUAGCGGCGGACGGGUGAGUAACACGUGGAUAACCUACCUAUAAGACUGGGAUAACUUCGGGAAACCGGAGCUAAUACCGGAUAAUAUUUUGAACCGCAUGGUUCAAAAGUGAAAGACGGUCUUGCUGUCACUUAUAGAUGGAUCCGCGCUGCAUUAGCUAGUUGGUAAGGUAACGGCUUACCAAGGCAACGAUGCAUAGCCGACCUGAGAGGGUGAUCGGCCACACUGGAACUUAGACACGGUCCAGACUCCUACGGGAGGCAGCAGUAGGGAAUCUUCCGCAAUGGGCGAAAGCCUGACGGAGCAACGCCGCGUGAGUGAUGAAGGUCUUCGGAUCGUAAAACUCUGUUAUUAGGGAAGAACAUAUGUGUAAGUAACUGUGCACAUCUUGACGGUACCUAAUCAGAAAGCCACGGCUAACUACGUG